This 484-nucleotide ribosomal RNA is filed under the name uncultured bacterium. RNAcentral describes it as "partial 16S ribosomal RNA". It matches the Rfam family "Bacterial small subunit ribosomal RNA", at positions 30 to 507 of the family's 1533-position model. The record is from RNAcentral.
AUUGAACGCUGGCGGCAUGCCUAACACAUGCAAGUCGAGCGGAUGAACGCUGCUUUCUCCUGUAUUCCGCUUCGGACGGGUGUGUAAUUCCUAUGAAUCUCCCUUUUUUUUGUUUAUAACGUCCUUAAACGCCCGCUAAUACCUCAUCCUUCCUGAUCCUGAACCUUGGGGUUCUUCGGACCUUUCCCUCUCUUCUGAUCCUAGGUCGUAUUUGCUAGUUGGUUGGGUAAAGGCCUACCAAGGCGACGAUCCGUAACUGAUCUGAGAGGAUGAUCAGUCACACUGGAACUGAGACACGGACCAGACUACUAAGGGAGGCAGCAGUGGGGAAUAUUGGACAAUGGGCGAAAGCAUGAUACAGCAAGGCCGCGUGUGUGAAGAAGGUCUUCGGAGUGUAAAGCACUGUAAGGUGGGAGGAAGGGAAGUAAGUGAAAACAUUGCUGUAUUGACGGUACCAAAAGAAAAAGCACCGGCUAACUACGUG